CGUUCUCUGGAGUGCUCGACAGCUCACCCAUAUUCUCUUGAGCCUAAUUUCGUACCCAAGGAAGCGAACCAUCGGUUCUGUUGUGCAAGACCGCCUGCGAAGCGGGAAGCCUGAUGGGCCGCCAGCCAGCUUCCGACUUGAACCGAACUGGUUCAAGGGUAACGGUGCGCACCGACACAACCGGAGAGCGU
Molecule: non-coding RNA, 191 nt
Filed under: Gammaproteobacteria bacterium
Lineage: Bacteria; Pseudomonadati; Pseudomonadota; Gammaproteobacteria
Description: 6S RNA
Rfam family: 6S / SsrS RNA
About the family: E. coli 6S RNA was the first non coding RNA to be sequenced, but its function was unknown until recently. It consists of 184 nucleotides that fold into an extended hairpin structure with a large single-stranded internal bulge. The 6S RNA specifically associates with RNA polymerase holoenzyme containing the sigma70 specificity factor.
Source: RNAcentral